AUAUGACAGUGAUGAUUGACAUUGAUCCAAUUAAUCCUAUCGGUAUGUCUCUGGAUGGAUUUUUGGUUUCUUCAGCCAUGGUGGCGAUAUUGUCAAAUCCUCCAUAAGCAAACUAUUGUCAGAACAGCAACAGCUAUUGGGUCAAGUAGAUUGUACCCCUCCGUCAGAUUUGUAUGGAUGCGUAAUGAGUUGGAGGGACGAUUCAAGAGUGAUGUGAAGUAAGAAGUCCAUGAUCUAGCAACUGCUGCACUUCCGACAAAGCCCUCAAGAAGUAUGUUUCCUGCUGUUAUGAAUGCUAUAAAGUCUCCUAAUUCUAUCCGCAGGUAAGCAAAAGCUCCACCUGCCACAGGGACUUCCACUGAAAAUUCUGUGUAGCAGAAGACAGAGAGCAUUGCCGAGACACCGGAAGCAACAUAGGACAAGACAAUAGCUGGUCCAGCAUGGUCAUGAGUUUCUUGCCCAGUAAGCACAAAGAUACCUGCACCAAUUACUGAACCAAAUCCAAACCAGAUGAGAUCCCACCAUGUGAGGCAACGCUUCAUGUCAUUUUCACUUCGCUUUGGAAGUUCCCCAAUCUCAUUGUUAUCAUCUGAUCUGCUUAUGAGACGGUUCUUGAACCUGUAGCCUGUUUGUGACAGGGCGGUCCGAUAUGUGCUCCAACUUUGAAAGGAUUCUUCUGGUAGGAAAUCUUGUUUGCUCCAUCUCCAGUAACUUCUUGGCUGAACCUCUUCACCCACUACUCCCAUGGAACCCAUUUUUCUAUUUUUCCCUUGUGUCCUUCCCUAGCACUUAUCUAAAAUGCUAGAAUAUGGGAUUCUGUCCUGAGAUUUAGAAUCUUAUCUCCUAGUUCCUGAAUUAUUUCUUCAAUUAUUGAUAGUGAAACUGAGGUUGUGAGCUCAAUGCAUAAGUCAAAUGAUGCAGACGAUUUAAGAGACUUGUAAAAGCUUGUUUUUACUUACAAGUCUAGUGGGCUGAUUUUCUUGGAUUGUUUGGUAUAUGUGAUAUUAUUUGUUCAGAAGACUGUAAUGUUGACUUGAAAAUUGGCUACUUGCAUUGUCAUUUUGUGAGAAUCUCUCACUACUUA
Long non-coding RNA from Prunus dulcis (almond), 1084 nucleotides. RefSeq lists it as uncharacterized. NCBI's taxonomy places the organism in Eukaryota, Viridiplantae, Streptophyta, Magnoliopsida, Rosales, Rosaceae. The record is from RefSeq and is a predicted model, not a curated record. The transcript is spliced from 2 exons.